RNAcentral lists this ribosomal RNA (486 nucleotides) under uncultured bacterium. RNAcentral describes it as "partial 16S ribosomal RNA". It matches the Rfam family "Bacterial small subunit ribosomal RNA", at positions 30 to 507 of the family's 1533-position model. The record is from RNAcentral.
AUUGAACGCUGGCGGCAUGCCUUACACAUGCAAGUCGAACGGCAGCACGGGUGCUUGCACCUGGUGGCGAGUGGCGAACGGGUGAGUAAUACAUCGGAACAUGUCCUGUAGUGGGGAAUAGCCCGGCGAAAGCCGGAUUAAUACCGCAUACGAUCUACGGAUGAAAGCGGGGGCCCUUCGGGCCUCGCGCUAUAGGGUUGGCCGAUGGCUGAUUAGCUAGUUGGUGGGGUAAAGGCCUACCAAGGCGACGAUCAGUAGCUGGUCUGAGAGGACGACCAGCCACACUGGGACUGAGACACGGCCCAGACUCCUACGGGAGGCAGCAGUGGGGAAUUUUGGACAAUGGGCGAAAGCCUGAUCCAGCAAUGCCGCGUGUGUGAAGAAGGCCUUCGGGUUGUAAAGCACUUUUGUCCGGAAAGAAAACCUUGGCCCUAAUACGGUCGGGGGAUGACGGUACCGGAAGAAUAAGCACCGGCUAACUACGUG